UAAGGAAUAUUGGUCAAUGGACGCAAGUCUGAACCAGCCAUGCCGCGUGAAGGAUGAAUGCCCUCUGGGUUGUAAACUUCUUUUAUCUGGGGAGAAAUGCCUGAUUUUUAUUGGGUUUGACGGUACCAGAGGAAUAAGCACCGGCUAACUCCGUGCCAGCAGCCGCGGUAAUACGGAGGGUGCAAGCGUUAUCCGGAUUCACUGGGUUUAAAGGGUGCGUAGGUGGGUUGGUAAGUCAGUGGUGAAAUCUCCGUGCUUAACAUGGAAACUGCCAUUGAUACUACUGGUCUUGAAUUUUCUGGAGGUAAGCGGAAUAUGUCAUGUAGCGGUGAAAUGCUUAGAUAUGACAUAGAACACCAAUUGCGAAGGCAGCUUACUACAGGGACAUUGACACUGAGGCACGAAAGCGUGGGGAUCAAAC
This 421-nucleotide ribosomal RNA is filed under the name uncultured bacterium. Its description in RNAcentral is "bacterial SSU rRNA". It matches the Rfam family "Bacterial small subunit ribosomal RNA", at positions 355 to 773 of the family's 1533-position model. The record is from RNAcentral.